GAUGAACGCUAGCGGCAGGCUUAACACAUGCAAGUCGAGGGGUAGGAGCAGCUUGCUGCUUUGAGACCGGCGCACGGGUGCGUAACGCGUAUACAAUCUACCUUUUACAGAGGGAUAGCCCAGAGAAAUUUGGAUUAAUACCUCAUAGUAUUUUCAGAUCGCAUGAUUUGAUUAUUAAAGUUCCAACGGUAAAAGAUGAGUAUGCGUCCCAUUAGCUAGAUGGUAAGGUAACGGCUUACCAUGGCAACGAUGGGUAGGGGUCCUGAGAGGGAGAUCCCCCACACUGGUACUGAGACACGGACCAGACUCCUACGGGAGGCAGCAGUGAGGAAUAUUGGACAAUGGGCGCAAGCCUGAUCCAGCCAUGCCGCGUGCAGGAAGACGGUCCUAUGGAUUGUAAACUGCUUUUAUACAGGAAGAAACACCUCUACGUGUAGAGACUUGACGGUACUGUAUG
RNAcentral lists this ribosomal RNA (457 nucleotides) under uncultured Flexibacteraceae bacterium. RNAcentral's name for it is "bacterial SSU rRNA". It matches the Rfam family "Bacterial small subunit ribosomal RNA", at positions 28 to 484 of the family's 1533-position model. The record is from RNAcentral. Lineage: Bacteria; Pseudomonadati; Bacteroidota; Cytophagia; Cytophagales; Cytophagaceae.